Molecule: long non-coding RNA, 1503 nt
Filed under: Ficedula albicollis (Collared flycatcher)
Lineage: Eukaryota; Metazoa; Chordata; Aves; Passeriformes; Muscicapidae
Description: lncRNA (ENSFALG00000028156.1)
Source: RNAcentral
AUGGGAAGGGGGAUCCCCAGCACUGGCAGUCCCCUUCACUGCGGAGGGGAAGGAGGUAUUUUUGCCAGGUGUGUCCCCUGCCAACACCUGCCCAGACCCACCUUAGCACCCAGGAUCUCCAAGCCAGCCUCAUCCCUGUACAUCAAUCUUUGCCUGCACACCAAACCUGCCCUGUGCACACCAAACCCUCCCUGUGCACACCAAACCUGCCUGCACACCAAACCCUCCCUGUGCACACCAAACCUGCCUGCACACCAAACCCUCCCUGUGCACACCAAACCUGCCUGCACACCAAACCCUCCCUGUGCACACCAAACCUGCCUGCACACCAAACCCUCCCUGUGCACACCAAACCUGCCUGCACACCAAACCCUCCCUGUGCACACCAAACCUGCCUGCACACCAAACCCUCCCUGUGCACACCAAACCUGCCUGCACACCAAACCCUCCCUGUGCACACCAAACCUGCCUGCACACCAAACCCUCCCUGUGCACACCAAACCUGCCUGCACACCAAACCCUCCCUGUGCACACCAAACCUGCCUGCACACCAAACCCUCCCUGUGCACACCAAACCUGCCUGCACACCAAACCCUCCCUGUGCACACCAAACCUGCCUGCACACCAAACCCUCCCUGUGCACACCAAACCUGCCUGCACACCAAACCCUCCCUGUGCACACCAAACCUGCCUGCACACCAAACCCUCCCUGUGCACACCAAACCUGCCAGUACACCAAACCUGCCAGUACACCAAAGCCUGCUAACACACCAAACCCUAGCAGCACACCAAACCCUCCCUGUGCACACCAAACCCUGCCAGCACACCAAACCCUGUCUGCAAAGUAAACUCUGGUCAUGCACAUCAAUCCCUGUGUGCACCCCAUCUUGUACACCAAACUACCUGCACGACAAACCCUGCCAGCACACCAAACCCUCCCUGUGCACACCAAACCCUGCCAGCACACCAAACCCUCCCUGUGCACAGCAAACCGUGCCAGCACACCAAACCUGCCAGCACACCGAGCUCUACCUGCACACCAAACCCUUCCUGCACGCCCGCGUCUGCCUCUGCACCCAGCCCUGUCCACACACCGCACCUGCGCCAGCCCUGCCAGCGCUGCCGACGCUGCCCAUGCACGUGCUGGCACCUCCCGUUCUCACUCCCCUUCCUGCCCGCGCCCCGCUGACCCCCGGCAUGGCCCCAAGCCCCCCGAACCUCCCCAGCGCCCCCGGCACCCGGGCAGCUCCGAGCCCGGCUCAGGGCCGGGGUGUCUCGCAGCUCCAGCUCCGGGGGAUCCCGGCCCCUGUCCCGGGCUCGCUGGCACGGCGCGCCCGGCGUGCUCCGACAGGUGAGCGCCCGGGGCCGCGUUCCUGCCCGGGCCGGCAGCUGUCCCCACCGGGCAGCGCUCUGCCGGCGUGUUCCUUCCAGCACGUCCCUCCCUCCUUCCCUCCGCAUCCAGCCUCUCCCGGCCGGAGAAAGGGGGGAGCCGGCAGAUUUUAA